Molecule: long non-coding RNA, 7142 nt
Organism: Vicia villosa (hairy vetch)
Lineage: Eukaryota; Viridiplantae; Streptophyta; Magnoliopsida; Fabales; Fabaceae
Exons: 3
Source: RefSeq, a predicted model, not a curated record
UGAGAUGAGUCAAUAAUAGCCCUUCAUUGGUUAUCCUUGUUAUCUUUUCUGUUACUUUUCAGUUACUAUGCAGUUAAAUUCUGUUACACAAUUUUCCUCAAUAACUGUUCCGAACCAAAAUCCAUGGGAACCUCCGUCAGACCUUCGCACAAUCCAGACCUCCAAGCCACACAAACCCAGAUCCACUCACCAAGCACCAGCCCGUCUCCGUACGCGUACAAUAUUACGAGAAAACGAAGAAAGAAGGGGAAGAAGAUAUAAUUUUCGGAAAAAAAUUCAAACAACAUUACAGAGAGAAGAGGAAGAAAGACAAGGAAGAAGGAGAAAGAAGAUGAAGAAAGAGGAGAAAGAAGAUGAAGAAAGAGGAGAGAGAAGAAAAAGAAGAUGAAUGAUAGAAAAACACUUAGAAAGGGGGGUUUGAAUAAGUGUAACUUUAAAAACUCUUAAGAUAAAAACAAUGUACACAAUAUUUUUAUCCUGGUUCGUUGUUAACGAAACUACUCCAGUCCACCCCCUUAGAGUGAUUUACCUCAACUGAGGUUUUAAUCCACUAAUCAAUCUUGAUUACAAUGGUUAUCCACUUAGAAACACUCUAAGUCUUCUAGAGUAUACUGAUCACACCUUGAUCACUCUAGGAAAUCAAUACUUAGAAACUUCUAAGUCUUCUAGAGUCUACUGAUCUCAUCACUGAUCACUCUAGGAACCUUUUACAAAUCAAUGUAAAAUAAAUGUUUACAAGAGUAUGAAUUGCUUCUUAGAAAGCUAUAAUCACAACUGUGAUAUUUCUCUUAAGUUCUAAGCUUAACACUCACUAAAUAUUACAAUAGUUUGUGAGGUUGAAGAUGAAGUUCGUAAGUAUUGAUUUCAGCAGCGUUUUGGUAUUCUUGCAAGAGUUGUUUUUUGCUUCUGAUAAGAACUUCAUAUUUAUAGGUGUUUGAGAAGAUGAUUGUUGAAAUGCAUUUAAUGCGUUGCGUGACUGGACAGCUUUGCAUUUAAUGUUUUCAUUGUUUUGUCAACUACCUCGAGCCAUGCUUUUCUCUGCUUUUACUAACUUUGCCUUUUGUAGCUUCUAACGUUCCUUUUGUCAGUCAGAGAUUAGACUUCAUAGCCUGUCAUCUAGUACUAACUUCUGAUCUCAAAUUUUGUGAAUACAACGUUUGAAUAAUCAGAAUCAGAGUUACAGCUUGGUGCAGAGCAUCUUCUUAUCUUCUAACUUUGAAGUGCUUUAGCGUGAUACCAUAAGAACUUCAGUGCUUCUGCUUCUGAUCUCAAGUUCUUCUGAUGCUUCAUAGACCAUGUUCUGAUUCUGCUUGACCAUCUUUUGAUGUCUUGCGAGAGCAUGUUCUGAUGUUGCAAUCCUGAACCUUUUGAGUCAGUGCUUCUUAGCGCUGAAUUGUGCAUACUCCUUAUAUAUUUCCUGAAAUGGAAAAUGCAUAGGAUUAGAGUGCCACAUUGUCUUAUACAAAAUUCAUAUACAUUGUUAUCAUCAAAACAAGAAUAUUGAUCAGAACAAAUCUUGUUCUAACAAUCUCCCCCUUUUUGAUGAUGAUAAAAACAUAUAUAAUUGAUAUGAAUUUGCAAUCAGAAUAUCAGAUGACAAAAGACAAUUACACAGAUAUAACAUAAAACACAUAAUCAGAGUGUGUGAAUAUGUCUCCCCCUGAGAUUAACAAUCUCCCCCUGAAAUAAAUACUAGAAGAAUUUAUAAAUAAAAGACUUCCCUGAGUAUUUUUCAUUUCAGUAGAGACUUUCACUUCGCCUAGAACUUCAGAAUAUUCAGAGCUUUUGCUUCUUGCUUCCAUAGGACAGCUUCAAAGCUUUGAAUUUCUUCUUUGUUGUCAUAGCAUGCUUGAUUGAAUCAGAACAUUCUUGAAUGUAUCAGAGCAUCAUCAGAGCAUCUUUACAUCCUGAAAUGUUUUAGAAACAUACUAGACAAAAAAAAUAUCAGAACAUGAAUGUAUCAGAACAUUCUUGAUAACUAUCAUGUAUCAGAGCAUUCUUAAUGAAUAGCAUUUAUCAGAGCAUUUAAGAUGAAGAAAAUGUAUCAGAGCAUAUUCUCUAACGAGAACAUCAGAGCAUUCUACGAAUGACUAUCAGAACAUUCUUCUUCUUGCUUCUGAUCUUGAAGCUUCACAGCACUAAGCUUGCUUCAAUUUUCCAAGAACAUGCUUCUUUAUAGAAUUGCUUUUCCCAUGUAUUUGCUUCUCAUGUUGAGCUUUUUCAGAAUAUCUUCAAUCCUGCAAAAAAUCUUACAAACAUAGAACUUGCAAAUAAUGUUAGGAAUGUUGAGACUUAAUCCCAGCGACUGAUAAUAUAAAUCAGAUCAAUUAUCAUGUUUCUCCCCCUUUUUGUCAUAACAUCAAAAAGCAUUAAAAGAUUCAGAUGAUAAAAGAAACAGAAAGUGAAGAAGAUAAUAUUUCUUUGAUUAACAAAAUAUCAGAAGUAUAAGAGGAAUAGAAGCAGAUGCAAGAAACAGAUGCAAGAAACAAGAAAACAUCUAAGACCAAGACACACUACGACUAGCCUAGCUUAGAAGCCAUCUUGGCCAGAAGGUUUUGAAUCUCAGCAGUGCUUUUUGUCUGGGUCUUUAUAAAAGAUCUGAACUCAUUGUGAGUUUCCUCAUGCUUGUCCAGACGAGAAGCAAGAUCAGCUUGAUUAUGUUGAAGAGCCUUCAUGGUGUUCAUCAGAACAAAAGGUCCAGCAGAAGAAGCAUCAAAGUUAUUGUCCAGAAGAGGAGUCUCAGCAGCAGCAUCGACCAUGAGAACAUCAGCUUGAAUUUCCUUAAUAGGAGAUUGUAUAUCAGGAUGAUUCUCAGCAUCUUGAGUCUCUGCAUCAGCUUCUGCCUCAGAAGCAUCUUUAGCAAACACAGGAGAAUGGAUUUCAGAAUCUGGAUUCUCUAAAGCCAGAAGAAUUUCAGCCAAGUUCUAAGGAGGUGUAGGAGCAGCAGGUUCUGAUGGGUAUUCAACUUCUGGAUAUACCAUAUUUGGUGCCUUAGCAGAGGGAUUCUCCCUUAACCAGUUGAAUAAGAAUUGAAAGUCGCCAGUCAGAACAUGGAGUUGAGGCUUCCACACAACCAUAGCCAAAGGAUGAACUUCUUCAAGCUCAUCAACAAAUUCCUUCUCUUCAAGAGAUUUCCAGCUCUUGAUGGGAUGAUAGUACUUACCAUCAUCUAACUCCAAGGAGUAACCAGAAGAUCCAGGAGCUACAACUAAACAUCUCUUUUGCAUAUUCAGAAGAUCAGUCUGAAUAUUCUUCUUAAAAAUCUUCCACAACCUAUUAACAACAACAAGAUCAAUCUCAGAGUCAUAAGCAGCUCUCAGAGUAUCUAACCUUGUUCUGAAUUUAUAGUUAAUCAAGUCAUAACAAGAAUCGAUAGAGGGUUCAGAAGGAUUGAAGGUGAAUUGAUAAUCAGGGUAAAGAAGACUAUAUGGUUUAGAUUCUCUUGAGAAUAAAGCAGGGGUAGAAGAAAGGGGACGGUUUCUUUUUGUGGUUUUGGAAGAGGAUGGAAUUUCAGAAGGAGGAGGCUUUUUCUGAGGGGGAUGGUUAGAAGGAUCAGCAUGGUAAAUAUCAUGAAUGAGCUUCGCAAACUGUUCUUCAGUUUUGGGUAUUUUGAGAGACUCUUUAGGUUUCUUCUGUUUCUUUGCUUUCUUAGAAUCAGGUCCUUCUUUUGUGGCCUUUCUCUUCAGCUUCUUCUCUUUCUUCUUCUUUUCCUUCUUUCUUAACUCAUCCAGAGAUGGAAGAGUCCUUCCACGAAUCCAAGCAGGAUCAACAGAAGUUUGAGCUUUGACACACGACUUCAGAUAAUGUUUAACAGAUUUGUCUAGCUCCUCUUCAAACAUGUGAGAGAAACUCACAACAGGAGUUCUUCUAGUCAGAAUAUCUGGAAACAUUUUUGAAGGAGUGGUCACCUUUUCAAUCAGCUGCAUCCUUUUUAGAGUCUGAGCAUUCAGAAUAAUGAUCGGUCACCAUUUGUAUUGUGUUUUCAUCAAUCUCUCGGCGUAAAUCUUGUCAAUUCGGUAACACAAUUGUCUAUCUUUUAUAGUUUUCUUUCUUAUUUUGAAUGUUUCGUUUAAGUAGUGUGUUUUGUUUUGAUGUUAAGAUCUCAUGGUUUUUAAGAUGCUUUGAUGCUUGUUUCGGUAGUAAUUAUGUUUCAGGUUUAAGCGAUGAAGACCAUAAGAAGAAUCCAGAGCCAAACAAAUGCGAAUCGAAGUUGAAAAUGAAGAUUUGGCGCAUACAGUGGCCUGACACGGGUGCCAGUGUUACCUGACACGGCCCGUGUCAGGAAGCAGGAGAAAAUAUUGAAAGAGUGCAAAGCAGUGGUCUGACACGGGUACCCGUGUCACCUGACACGGCCCGUGUCAGGAAGUCUGGGGAAAAUAUUGAAAAACCACAUGGACAGAGGGCCAACACGGGUGUUGUCGCACGCUCGUGAAAUGAUGAAACAGAGUCGCCACCAAUAUAUUUAUCCCAAAGAGGGAAAGGAAUAUCAGAAAACCUAAGAUGAAUAAGAACGAGGUCUUUCGACCAGAGAUCAAGGUACGGGAGUCGGUUACGCAAGGGGAAGGUGCUAGCACCCCUCACGCCCAUCGUACUCGAUGGUAUCCACCUAUGUUUGUUUCUAUCUAAAGGGUGUAUAAAUCUAAAGCUUAAUUACUAAGGGAAUGCAUGCAAAUGAAAGAAAAGAAACACGGGGAAAAUAAGGUUUUAAAUAGUUGUGCUCGCUUAGGCCCCGCGACCCAAUGCCUACGUAUCCUUUUCAGGAAUCAGAGCGCCGUAGUUCGGCUCUUUAGUUUUUGUUUGUUUUUGUGUUUUUUAGUGGAUGAAGUUACAUUCGCACUCCGCUGCUCGACCUCUGGAGUCUUAAGCUGGGAAUGGAGCGGAAAUAACGUGUCCGAUUAAAGAAUGCCUCAGAGGCGAGAUAGAGAAAAGAGUUUGAGCGUUCAAGUGGCACCCUAAAGCAAGGGAGACUCGAGUUGCUCUUUGGUUUGUGUUUUUUAGAAAUUGGGAACUUACGCUCGAAUGGUUCCCUAAAGCAAGGGAGAUCCAAGCACUCGAAUGAUUCCCUAAAGCAAGGGAGAUUCAAGCUUCCAUUCCCUUUUUAAUGAUUUUCACUUUUUUAUUAAUGUUUUAUUAAGUGUUUUCUUUGUAUUUUUUAAAGGGAUUUUAUUUUGAUAUUUAUUAGAUGUUUUAAAGUUGAAAAGGAAAAGAAACUAGCCUAAGUAUGAAGGGAAUUUCUACCUAAUGUUAUCAUGGUUUCUACCUAAGGUUAGGGAUAAAAGAAUAUGAAAAUAAAGAUCACAAUUAGAAGUCAUAAGUAAGAUACAUGAGCAAAAUUGAGAAUGAUAUAAUGGUACCAAAUUAUACACAAGCAUGAAGCAACAAGCCAAAAAAAUAUAGUACAAAAGUGAAGUAAAAUACUACUAUUUUUAUAUUGAUUUUUAUGAGAGAAAUUGAAUUACAAGUCAAGUAAAAAGACUAAAAAACAAAUAGCCUAAGAACUAAUAUUUUUAUGUUUAUUUUUUAUAUGUCAAAAUUAUGUACUAAAGUCUAAAAUAAUAGGAGAAAAUUAGUGUUUUUACUACAAAAAAGAAAUGGCAAAAGAAACUAAUGGAAUUUAAAAUGAAAUGCAAACAGGGGGCGUGAACUGAGAAUAGAGGUGUGAUGAGCAAGGCACAGGGCCCAGUGGUUCUGGCCCAAACAGAGUUUUUGUAUAGUUUUUUUUGUUGGCACAAACAGAUGCAACAUGGGCUGAGCAAGGGGUGUAGAAUAGCAAUGGCCCAAGGUUUAUUGUUUGAUCCAAUUAUUAUUAUUAUUAUUAUUCAGAUUUUCGUUUCAAUAAAGAAUAAAUUAAAUUAAAACUAAGAAAAUAAAAAAAUGAGAAGAGGAAUUAGGGUUUUCAGAAUUCUGACCUUUGAGCUUACUUCUCCUCUUUUUCCCCUCUCUUCACAACGAAAAUCGGCGGCGGCAGCGUUAGCCUUCUCUGAUCGGAACAAACUCACCGCGCCGUCGUGAAAUUUCCGGCCACAUCCUCCUCUCAUCACAUCUCUUCGCAUUGCUCUCCUUCGCCUCCUACCUCUUUGUUCAUCUCCUUUUAUCAAACGGCGAAAUGAAUUCACCGCGACGGAGGACUCCAGUUCUUCUCUGAUUCCCCCUCUUCGAUGUGAUUGAAUAUGAAAUCCGGCGAAGCCUUUCGAGAAAUCAGAUGAAGAUGAUGACGCAAAGGUGAGGAAGAGAGCGAGGUUUAUGGAUGGUUAUUGAAGAUUGGAAGAGGAAGGUUAAAGAAGAUUAUGGAGAGCUUUGAUCAAUGGAGAUGAUGAAUGGUUCAGAGAGAGAGAGGGUUAUUUGAAGAUUGAAGAUUGAGAGAAGGUGAAGAUGAUGGGAAAAAUGGUGGAGUCCGAGAGAGUGAAGAUUGAAGAAUUGGUGGAGAGUUGAACUUUGAUGAAUGAUGAAGAUGGAAAUGGUGUGAAGUGGAGAGAGAGAGAUGAAGAAUGAAGAUAGAGUGAGGAUGAUGAAGAGUGAAGAGUUAUGAGGUGGCAACAAUGGAAAACAGAGUGAAAACCUGAAGAAUGAUGGAGGUCUUGGUUAUAUAGAGAUGAAGGAUCUUGAUUCUCUGAAGGUUUGUUCUCAAACUCUGAUCUUUUUUCUGUUAGGAGUCAGUUAGAUUGGUUAAAAGUUUGUUAGAUAAUUCUGUUUUGGUAGUUAGGUGGUUAUAGGUUAGUUACAAGGAUAGGAAAUUGUUAGUGUGGGUUCUGUUAAGAGGUAUGACAGUUAGGAAAAUGUUGAAUGGUUGUUAAUUCUGUUAGAGAAAAUAGAAAGGGGUUAGUUAGAGGGUUGUUAAGUUAGUUAUGAUGUUUAUGUAUGAUAUGAUGUGGCUGGGAGUUUUAUGCAACUAAUUGGUAAAUGAAUGAUUAGGCUGUUAGGAUGGGUUCCUGUUGGUUUAUGCAGGGCUGCUGGUUUGAAUUGAGUUAGACUUUGUAGGUGCUAAUUUGAAUGUAUGGAGCUGUUUGGUUUUUGGUCAGUUAGAAGUUUUGGUUUUGUUAUAUAGCUUGAAUUUGAAUGAAUGAUGAUUAGUAAGAAGUGAUGAAUUGAAUUUGAAUAUAUGACUUGAUAAUAUAAUCUCCUUGGAUUGAUAUGCACUUGAU